Small nuclear RNA from Sarcophilus harrisii (Tasmanian devil), 108 nucleotides. Lineage: Eukaryota; Metazoa; Chordata; Mammalia; Dasyuromorphia; Dasyuridae. The record is from Ensembl.
GGUGCUUACUUCAGCAGCAUAUCAUAUACUAAAAUUGGAAUGAUAUGGAGAUUAGCAUGGCCCUUGCACAGGGAUGACAUGCAAAUUUGUGAUGCAUUCCAUAUUUUA